This 301-nucleotide ribosomal RNA is filed under the name uncultured bacterium. RNAcentral's name for it is "partial 16S ribosomal RNA". It matches the Rfam family "Bacterial small subunit ribosomal RNA", at positions 509 to 807 of the family's 1533-position model. The record is from RNAcentral.
CAGCAGCCACGGUAAUACGGAGGGGGCUAGCGUUGUUCGGAAUUACUGGGCGUAAAGCGCACGUAGGCGGCUUUGUAAGUUAGAGGUGAAAGCCCGGAGCUCAACUCCGGAAUUGCCUUUAAGACUGCAGAGCUGGCAGGUGAGAGAGGUGAGUGGAAUUCCGAGUGUAGAGGUGAAAUUCGUAGAUAUUCGGAAGAACACCAGUGGCGAAGGCGGCCCCCUGGACAAAGACUGACGCUCAGGUGCGAAAGCGUGGGGAGCAAACAGGAUUAGAUACCCCGGUAGUCCCUGUCUCUUAUAC